AUCAUGGCUCAGGAUGAACGCUAGCUACAGGCUUAACACAUGCAAGUCGAGGGGUAGCAGGGUAGCAAUACCGCUGACGACCGGCGCACGGGUGAGUAACACGUAUCCAACCUUCCCAUAACUCAGGGAUAGCCUUUCGAAAGAAAGAUUAAUACCUGAUAGUACUUUUCAAGGCAUCUUGAGAAAGUUAAAGAUUUUAUUGGUUAUGGAUGGGGAUGCGUUCCAUUAGAUAGUUGGUGAGGUAACGGCUCACCAAGUCUUCGAUGGAUAGGGGUUCUGAGAGGAAGGUCCCCCACAUUGGUACUGAGACACGGACCAAACUCCUACGGGAGGCAGCAGUGAGGAAUAUUGGUCAAUGGGCGAGAGCCUGAACCAGCCAAGUAGCGUGAAGGAUGAAAGGUCCUAUGGAUUGUAAACUUCUUUUAUAGUAGAAUAAAGUGAUCCACGUGUGGAUUUUUGUAUGUAUACUAUGAAUAAGGAUCGGCUAACUCCGUGCCAGCAGCUGC
This 506-nucleotide ribosomal RNA is filed under the name uncultured bacterium. RNAcentral describes it as "bacterial SSU rRNA". It matches the Rfam family "Bacterial small subunit ribosomal RNA", at positions 16 to 518 of the family's 1533-position model. The record is from RNAcentral.